UCCUCGUUUGCUCAGUUGGUAGAGGGCUCCACUGGAAAAGGAGAGGUUCCUGGUUCGAUACCCGGACCAGGCG
Molecule: transfer RNA, 73 nt
Filed under: Ixodes scapularis (black-legged tick)
Lineage: Eukaryota; Metazoa; Arthropoda; Arachnida; Ixodida; Ixodidae
Rfam family: tRNA
About the family: Transfer RNA (tRNA) molecules are approximately 80 nucleotides in length. Their secondary structure includes four short double-helical elements and three loops (D, anti-codon, and T loops).
Source: Rfam by way of RNAcentral